UGGGGAAUCUUGCACAAUGGGGGAAACCCUGAUGCAGCGACGCCGCGUGAGCGAUGAAGCCCUUCGGGGUGUAAAGCUCUUUCGACGGGAACGAUAAUGACGGUACCCGGAGAAGAAGCUGCGGCUAACUACGUGCCAGCAGCCGCGGUAAUACGUAGGCAGCAAGCGUUGUUCGGAGUUACUGGGCGUAAAGAGUGCGUAGGUGGUGCCCUAAGUCUGUUGUGAAAUCUCCCGGCUUAACUGGGAGGGUGCGGUGGAAACUGGGGUGCUUGAGUGUGGGAGAGGUAAGCGGAAUUCCUGGUGUAGCGGUGAAAUGCGUAGAUAUCAGGAGGAACACCGGUGGUGUAGACGGCUUACUGGACCACGACUGACACUGAGGCACGAAAGCGUGGGUAGCAAACA
RNAcentral lists this ribosomal RNA (402 nucleotides) under uncultured Bryobacter sp. RNAcentral describes it as "bacterial SSU rRNA". It matches the Rfam family "Bacterial small subunit ribosomal RNA", at positions 355 to 774 of the family's 1533-position model. Lineage: Bacteria; Pseudomonadati; Acidobacteriota; Terriglobia; Bryobacterales; Bryobacteraceae. The record is from RNAcentral.